GUAUAAGAAAAUGUUAUACUUUUUGUGGGCUGCCCUAUUGGACAGCACGCGCCCUUUGUAAUAAUGUUUCUAGUGCAACCCUGCCCCUUGAUGCUCUGGCGACACUGGACUGGAUUGACAGAGCUGCCGUCUGUCAAAAGCCGUGAGUACAAAAAAAAACUAGAUGAAUGAGAAGCAGAAAAACAUCCACGUUUGAAGAUCACUCCUAUUCCGUAGUGUUUAUUCCCUUAAUAGUUCUAACUAAUACUCGCAUAUACUGCCAAAUUUAGUGAAUUUAUAGUGGCAGAGAGGUAAAGUGAAUUUGUUAUAUAUUAGAUCCUAAAACUAACUAAAAAAUUAUUUACUAGGGCCUAGAACUUACAUGCAAAUUAGCGCACAAAAGUGCCUAACCUAAGUGUAUACUAAAUCUACAUCUUUCAUUGAACCUAUACCGGUAAGCCAAUGAUAAAACUAUAAAUUUGCUUCCAAAUUCAAGAUUACCAUUGUUACAGCUCCAUCAUAACCAUAAGACCCUUAUUACCCGCCGAAACUGAACUAGGGGAACUAAACGUAAGUAAUUAUAUGUAUAUCUAUAUCAAGUCCCGUUGACAACACCGCAACAAAAUUUGUUAUCUACCUUACACAGAACAUAAUUUGCUACCAAAACCCCACACGUUAUAGAUACACCAGCUUAUAUAUGUAGUUAAUGCUUACGAUAUAUUGUUUCCUGUGCAUUAGUAUGCAUUGGCAUGAACUUAAGAACUAAUUGUGAAAUAUUAUAUACCCUCUGUCCUACUUGCACAGGAAAUUAGUAAUCUCCCGAAUAAAGAGCUAACAAAACCGAUCCCUGCUCUGGAGGUUAUUAAGGCGGAAGAAUCCCCCUAUCAGUCAAAGUAACAGACGGUAGAGUUGGUCGAAGCGAACUUCGACAAAUUACUAAUUUCGUUUACGCGAGUGAUGUCGAGUCGAAAAAGUGGUAAAGAUGGCAAAAGCGGUUCAAAAGGUGCGCGGUCGAAAGAGAAGCCAACAGAAACGAUCGAUAACAGUGAUGGUGCUAAUGUAGUGGUGGUGGUCACGGGCGACAAAGAGGAUGAAGAACAAGUUCCAGAACAGGACUGCACGUUCUGCCAGGAGUCGGAUAACGAUGAGAUGGUUCAGUGCGACAAGUGCGACCGCUGGAUUCAUUUCGCAUGUGUUGGUGUCACAGAAGAAAUCGCGGAUAAGAGUUGGAGUUGUCCCAAAUGUGUAACUACAACCGGGUUCCAGCUGUCUCCGUCUUCUGCUGCUAAACGCCUUCCGGCGGGGCUUCCAUGUCGCGCAGACCAACCAAAGUCUGCCGCUUCAAAAGAGCAGCUCAUCCCCAGGAGAACUCUCGCAACUGGCAAGGGUGCACGGUGCAAUACGCUGUCGGAGCCGAUAGGAAAGACUUUUCCGACUCACGGCGACCCUCACGGAGCCACAUCUCGUGCCAAAACAGUCAAGUCGGUAGCAUCAACGUCGUCUCGUAGAUCCCUACUCCAACUACAGCUUCAACGGCUUGAGGAAGAACAAGAACACGAGAAGCAACAAGCUGAAAAAUACCGGUCCUACCUGGACAGGAAAUAUGAACUCUUGGAGCAGAUGCACAGCCAAACCGGAUCCGAUUGUAGUGCAUCACAAAGCCGAGUUAGACAGUGGGUUCACGAAGUGACCAAUGUACGAACCGAAAAUACACUAGAUGCCCGGACUACAGAAGCCUUCGACCCACAGAGACACUCAACACAGAACUACUCCGAGCAAGCUCAAGUCGGUUCUACUCCUUCGUCGAAUCAGCAUCGCCGCAGUCAGGAUAGAGGCGCAGAUCAUGGUGGGUGCUGCGGUCCUCGGCGAGAACGGCCGUCUCGACCGUUAUCUACAGGUAGGAGCCUCGUAGAGUCCUUCGAACAGCUCAGUCAUCAGCAAAGGAGAGCCUUUCGAGAAACACAUUUCCAUUCAGAAGCUCACGAGGAAGAUUUCGGACCGUGUUCGUUUUCCCGGCAACAGUUGGCAGCUCGUCAAGGGCUCUCAAAAGAUUUGCCCAAGUUUUCCGGUAAGUUUGAAGAGUGGCCGAUCUUCAUGUCGAUGUUUAAUAGCACGACCAACGUGUGCGGCUUUUCGAAUGAAGAAAACCUCAUUCGGCUUCAGAAGGCCUUAGAAGGAAAGGCGUACGAAACGGCCCAGAGUUUACUGAUGCACCCGUCAAACGUUCCGGCGAUCAUGCGAACAUUGAAAAUGAGAUUCGGACAACCCGAAGCCGUUGUUCACUCCCUGAUCCAAAAGGUGAAUGCCCUACCAUCUAUACGUGAGGAACGACUGGAGACGUUAGUGGAGUUUGCAGUGAACGUGCAAAAUUUCUGCGCCACCGUGGAUGCGUACGAACUCGAAGACUACAUGUAUAACGUCUCCCUUCUACAUCAGUUGGUGAGCAAGCUUCCAGCGACCUUAAAGCUAGACUGGGCUAGGCAUCGACAGAACCUUCAGCGGGUCAACUUGGCAACCUUUGGGAACUGGGUGUAUUCGUUAGCCGAGGCAGCUAGUACGGUUGUAAGCCCUGUGGAUGCAAACGAGUCGACGAAGCCGACACGCAGCGAAGGACGCGGAAAUUUCGGUGGGAAUAAGAAAUCGAACGCAUACGUAAACGCACACGCUGAGACGGCAUCGGAAUCCAGCAAUCAUCAAAAGUUCGAAGAUUCUGAUGCAGACCCGAAGGAGAUGACCGGCGCGUCAGUCGGUAAGCAGUCGACUCACGUGGACGAUAGCUGUGUGGUAUGCAAAGGAAGAUGUAAAAACGUUUCGAAGUGUCAACAGUUCAUGGAGUUGUCUCGCGAAUCCAGAUGGGCUUUGGUAAAAGAAUUCAGACUGUGUCGAAACUGUCUACGUCGGCACAAAGGAGGAUGUGACGCUAAACCAUGCGGUAAAAAUGGAUGCGCCUAUAAACAUCACCAGUUACUCCAUAAUGACCAGAAAGUCCAGCCAUCCUCUAGCCAAGAUUUGCAAAUGUCCACUGCAGCUCCAGCUCAGAUUCCUAGGUUACCGAGGUCCGCUGGGGAAGUACCAACACACGACUGCAAUAUUCAUCAAGCGAAACCUAAUGCAGUACUGUUCCGUUAUCUGCCCGUCGUACUCAGCGGGCCUCAAGGCUCUAUUAAAACUUAUGCGUUCCUGGAUGAAGGUUCCCAUUUGAGCCUAAUAGAUCAGGAACUAGCGGAACAACUCAAGCUCGAAGGCACUACGAUACCCUUAUGCCUCCGUUGGACGGGAGGAACACAGCGAUGCGAACGAGACUCGCAGUCCGUUACCCUCGAUAUAUCCGGCACGAACAAAGCAGCCAAGAAUUUCCAGCUAUCCGGAGUAAGAACAGUUGAAGAACUCUUGCUUCCGCACCAGACACUUAACGCAGAGGAAUUAGGACAACAAUAUCCACAUCUCAAGGGACUCUCCAUAGAUUCCUACUACGAUGCUCGACCAAGAAUUCUUAUCGGAAUGAAGCACGUGCAAGUCAGCCUAGUAUUGAAAAGCAGAGAGGGAAACUAUGGUGAACCAGUAGCCGUAAAAACACGGCUGGGGUGGACAGUAUGCGGCGGAGGAGACAUGGAAGCAGGCAACGUAAGCAAUCUGAUCCACUAUACCUUCCACGUGUGUUCGUGUGAGCAGACGCAAGACGACGAGUUGCAUCAGGCAGUGAAAAAACAUUUUGCCUUGGAUAGUCUUGGUGUGACAAAACCAGAAAAGCUUCUUCUCUCUGCUGACGAUCAACGUGCGCAGGACCUCUUGAAGAAAUUAACUACUCAUGAUGGGGAAAGAUACACAACUGGGUUACUGUGGCGGCACGAUAACGUUCGCCUACCUGAAAGUUACGCUAUGGCACUGCGAAGACAUCAAUGCUUACAAAAGCGCCUCGCCAAAGAUCCGGAAUUAGCUGAAACGUUACAACAAAUGAUGGCGGACUACGUGUCAAAGGGAUACGUGCGGCAGAUCUCGGAGGAAGAACUCAGCCUCAAGUUUUCAAGAGUGUGGUACCUUCCUGUAUUUCCCGUUGUAAACCAUAAUAAGCCAGGAAAGGUGCGACUGGUUUGGGACUGUGCCACAUGCUCCUUCGGUGUUUCGCUGAAUUCCACCCUUCUAAAGGGUCCCGAUCAGCUUUGUUCGCUGCUGUCUAUCUUACUGCAAUUCAGGGAAAACAGAGUGGGGCUGACCGGUGACAUACGGGAAAUGUUCCACCAGAUACGCAUCCGAGACGAGGAUCAACAGUGUCAACGGUUCUUGUGGUGGAACGAUAAAGGAGAAGUUGUGAUCUACGUUAUGCAGGUUAUGACCUUUGGUGCCUGUUGCUCCCCCAGCUGCGCACAAUAUGCAAAAAACGUCAACGCCGAACGUCAUGCAGGAGAGUACCCGGACGCAGCCGAAGUAAUCCAGAAAAAGCACUAUGUGGAUGACAUGCUUGUCAGUCUGGAAACUGAGGAAGAGGCGGUGCGAAUAGCAAGAGAGGUGAAGUACGUUCAUCAGCAGGGCGGAUUUGAAAUCCGGAAUUGGAUUAGCAAUUCACCAGCAGUACUAAGAGCUCUAAACAAAAAAAAAGAGGACUUGCUGAAUGAGAAAGAUCUGGACUUGUCACCAGAAGUAAGCACCGAGAAAGUCUUGGGUAUGUGGUGGUGUACCGCUUCAGAUACAUUUACGUACAAGGUCGGAUGGAAGCGCUACGACAGUGAUCUUCUGGAAGGCCGUAGACGCCCUACAAAACGAGAGGUUCUACGGGUGCUGAUGUCCAUAUUCGACCCCCUUGGGUUGAUCAGCCACUUUCUCAUGUUCCUGAAGGUGCUAUUGCAAGAAGUGUGGCGCUCCGGUGUGCAGUGGGAUGAGGAGAUAACUGACGACGCAUUUUCAAAGUGGCAACAGUGGCUCAAGUUAUUACCUGAAGUAGAGCAAGUUCAAAUCCCCAGGUGUUAUAGAUCACAAUCCCAAAGCCCCGAGGAAGAAGCUGAACUCCAUAUAUUCGCCGAUGCCAGUGAAUGUGGGAUGGCCGCCGUCGCCUUCUUACGCUUCGUCAAGAACGGAACCGUCGAAUGCAGAAUCGUUGCCGCAAAGACGCGAGUUGCGCCCCUGAAGUUUGUGUCCAUACCCCGACUAGAACUGCAGGCUGCAGUGAUUGGCGCUAGACUGGCUAACACGAUCACAGACUCCCUGACCGUAAACAUAUCCAGAAAGUAUUAUUGGACCGACUCCCGUGACGUACUGUGCUGGUUGCACUCUGACCACCGGCGAUACACCCAAUUUGUAGCGUUCCGUGUCAGCGAAAUUCUAGAGACUACCGAAGCAAACCAAUGGCACUGGGUGCCGUCCAAGAUGAACGUUGCAGACGACGGUACCAAAUGGACUUCGCGACCCGAUCUCACAGCAGUUAGCAGAUGGUUCGUUGGACCAGAAUUCCUACAGCGACCUGAAACAAAUUGGCCACAGCAGCCGAAGAAGAGUAGAUCCACAGAGGAAGAACUUCGUCCUAGACUGAUUGCGAAUCAUACUGUCUGCGAACCCGUCAUAAAUCCAUGCAACUUCUCCAGCUGGAAGCGUAUGCUCAACAUCACUUCGUACGUCCUGCGGUUCACGGCCAAUUGUCGUCGAAAACUUCGUAGAGAAUCGACCACCACCGGACAACUAACGACACCCGAACUGGUUUCCGCUGAAACCUACCUUCUACGUACUGCUCAACGUGAGGGCUACCCAGACGAGGUCACCAUCUUGGAGAAAUCAAAGCAGGCUGAUAGCUCAAGGACCAUACCAAAGCAAAGUAGCCUGUACCAGUUAACUCCGUGGAUAGACAGCAAAGGACUUAUGCGAAUGCGUACAAGAAUUGCAGCCUGUCAUUACGCAACAGAAGACGCCAAGAAACCAAUUAUUCUACCUCGGGAUCACCCCACUACCAACAUGAUAAUUAUGCACUAUCAUUGCCAAUUCCACCAUCAGAACCAUGAGACAGUGGUCAAUGAACUUCGGCAGAGGUUCAACAUUCCACACAUUCGUGCCGCUUAUGCUAAGGUGAAGAGGAACUGCCAACGAUGUAAAAAUGAUCAUGCCAAGCCAUGCCCACCAAUAAUGGCUGACCUUCCACCAGCGCGGGUUGCAGCAUUUUCGCGACCCUUCACACACACAGGAAUCGACUUUUUCGGACCUUAUGAAGUUGCUGUUGGAAGGCGCACGGAAAAACGAUGGGGAAUGCUCGCAACCUGCUUGACGAUCCGAGCUGUUCACAUCGAAGUUGUGCACUCCCUAAGCACUGACUCCUGUAUAAUGGCAAUUAGAAACUUCAUUGCACGUCGUGGUACACCUAGAGUGAUCUACAGUGAUAGGGGGACCAACUUCAUCGGAGCAUCUCGUCAGAUGAAAGAAGCUGCUACAAAAGUGAACGUGGACGAAGUUAUGAAAGAGUUCACAACCGUUGACACCGAAUGGUUGUUCAAUCCACCCCUAUCUCCUCACAUGGGCGGCAGCUGGGAACGGCUAAUAGGCAGCGUAAAACGGAAUCUUCAAGCGAUUAACCCACCUCGAAAGCCGACUGAUGAAGUUCUGCAGAAUGUAUUCGUCGAGGUCGAAAACAUCAUAAACUCCAGACCAUUAACCCACAUCCCUGUUGAUGAUGACUGCGCGCCUGCUUUGACCCCGAACCACUUUCUUCUUGGUUCCUCAAAUGGCGUCAAACCAUUCUCUACUUUGGAUGACAGUAAUGCAGCUCUCCGUCAGAACAUCUUUGCCUCGCAGGUGCUAGCGAACACAUUCUGGAAGCGCUGGCUAAGUGACUAUUUGCCAGAAAUCACAAAGCGAUCCAAGUGGUUCAACCGAACCAAUCCAGUUGAAGUAGGUGAUGUAGCAGUGAUAACUGAUCCCAAACUACCUCGAAAUUGCUGGCCCAAGGGGAAAAUCAUCGUAACCCACCCAGGUAAGGACGGAGAAGUUCGUUCGGCUACCGUUAGAACUUCCACAGGAGUAUACGUCAGGCCGGUUACCAAACUGGCAAUCCUAGAUGUCAGGCGCGACGGAAGUAAGCCAGCCUGAUAGCUGGCGUACCCGGGGGGAGUGUGGGCUGCCCUAUUGGACAGCACGCGCCCUUUGUAAUAAUGUUUCUAGUGCAACCCUGCCCCUUGAUGCUCUGGCGACACUGGACUGGAUUGACAGAGCUGCCGUCUGUCAAAAGCCGUGAGUACAAAAAAAAACUAGAUGAAUGAGAAGCAGAAAAACAUCCACGUUUGAAGAUCACUCCUAUUCCGUAGUGUUUAUUCCCUUAAUAGUUCUAACUAAUACUCGCAUAUACUGCCAAAUUUAGUGAAUUUAUAGUGGCAGAGAGGUAAAGUGAAUUUGUUAUAUAUUAGAUCCUAAAACUAACUAAAAAAUUAUUUACUAGGGCCUAGAACUUACAUGCAAAUUAGCGCACAAAAGUGCCUAACCUAAGUGUAUACUAAAUCUACAUCUUUCAUUGAACCUAUACCGCUCCAUCAUAACCAUAAGACCCUUAUUACCCGCCGAAACUGAACUAGGGGAACUAAACGUAAGUAAUUAUAUGUAUAUCUAUAUCAAGUCCCGUUGACAACACCGCAACAAAAUUUGUUAUCUACCUUACACAGAACAUAAUUUGCUACCAAAACCCCACACGUUAUAGAUACACCAGCUUAUAUAUGUAGUUAAUGCUUACGAUAUAUUGUUUCCUGUGCAUUAGUAUGCAUUGGCAUGAACUUAAGAACUAAUUGUGAAAUAUUAUAUACCCUCUGUCCUACUUGCACAGGAAAUUAGUAAUCUCCCGAAUAAAGAGCUAACAAAACCGAUCCCUGCUCUGGAGGUUAUUAAGGCGGAAGAAUCCCCCUAUCAGUCAAAGUAACAGACGGUAGAGUUGGUCGAAGCGAACUUCGACACUUUUUUUCGUUUCCCU
RNA transcript from Aedes albopictus (Asian tiger mosquito), 7912 nucleotides. RefSeq lists it as uncharacterized. The record is from RefSeq and is a predicted model, not a curated record. The transcript is spliced from 2 exons. NCBI's taxonomy places the organism in Eukaryota, Metazoa, Arthropoda, Insecta, Diptera, Culicidae.